CAGGAAGCAGCUUGCUGCUUCGCUGACGAGUGGCGGACGGGUGAGUAAUGUCUGGGAAACUGCCUGAUGGAGGGGGAUAACUACUGGAAACGGUGGCUAAUACCGCAUAACGUCGCAAGACCAAAGAGGGGGACCUUCGGGCCUCUUGCCAUCAGAUGUGCCCAGAUGGGAUUAGCUAGUUGGUGAGGUAACGGCUCACCAAGGCGACGAUCCCUAGCUGGUCUGAGAGGAUGACCAGCCACACUGGAACUGAGACACGGUCCAGACUCCUACGGGAGGCAGCAGUGGGGAAUAUUGCACAAUGGGCGCAAGCCUGAUGCAGCCAUGC
RNAcentral lists this ribosomal RNA (328 nucleotides) under Salmonella enterica. RNAcentral's name for it is "bacterial SSU rRNA". It matches the Rfam family "Bacterial small subunit ribosomal RNA", at positions 69 to 397 of the family's 1533-position model. The record is from RNAcentral. Lineage: Bacteria; Pseudomonadati; Pseudomonadota; Gammaproteobacteria; Enterobacterales; Enterobacteriaceae.